AACGAACGCUGGCGGCAUGCCUAACACAUGCAAGUCGAACGAUGGCUUCGGCCAUAGUGGCGGACGGGUGAGUAGCGCGUGGGAACCUGCCCCGAGGUACGGAAUAACCGCUGGAAACGGCGGCUAAUACCGUAUGAGCCCUGAGGGGGAAAGAUUUAUCGCCUUGGGAGGGGCCCGCGUCCGAUUAGGUAGUUGGUGAGGUAAAGGCUCACCAAGCCUGCGAUCGGUAGCUGGUCUGAGAGGAUGAUCAGCCACACUGGGACUGAGACACGGCCCAGACUCCUACGGGAGGCAGCAGUGGGGAAUAUUGCGCAAUGGGCGAAAGCCUGACGCAGCGACGCCGCGUGGGUGAUGAAGGCCU
Molecule: ribosomal RNA, 361 nt
Filed under: uncultured bacterium
Lineage: Bacteria
Description: bacterial SSU rRNA
Rfam family: Bacterial small subunit ribosomal RNA
Source: RNAcentral